AUGAUCAGCCCUGCCCAGGUACAUUUGUUUCGAAUAUUUUUGAAUCAACAUUUACUCAUCAAAUGUUCUGGUCUGAAUCUUAUUUUAAAUGAAAUGAAGACGGCCAUCUUGUGCCCAAACGAAGCCAGAAAGCUGUCCACUGAUGAUCUCAUCGGCCAAAUGAGGGGUUUUGACCAAGUGAUGCUCUUGAAAGGAAUGAAAGAAGAGGAUGUGGUAAAUUGUCUUCAAAGAAAAAGCUUCUCAAAAGGUCUUAAAACAGCUUGAAGAAUGGUAUGUGUCCAGUACUUCAAGGGUCAUAGUUGUUCACACUGCUAAAAUCACACAGAACAUUAAACUGUCUGACUGUCCAUUAAACAACUUCAUCUGAAUUGUUUGUGUUUUUUGUUUUACUUUGACCAGGUCUGGGAACUGUCUGAAAAUGGGAUUUUAGGACUGAGAGAUCCUCUGGCUGAGAAAAAGCUACAUCACAUCAGUGCUGGAUAUCAACCACACACUGUUUACAGACACGAGAGAAGAAGAAGAUCACGAUGGGGAAAUGAAACCAGUUUAGAUGUGAUGAUAAGGAAUCAUUAUUUUCUGAAACAGUAUCACAUGUCUUAUAUGUAUCACAUGAUCUGUAUCACAGUUGCCUGGAAGGGAUUGUUUGACUUUUAAGGACAUUUCAUUACUCAUCUGUGUGAACUGAUUAAUUUAUGAUAUUAAUGAAUUUUUGAUGAUCCAUUAUUAUUUUCCUUGAAUCGUAUUUGUCUUGAUGCUACUUUAUCAACUUUAUAGUCUAUGCUUCAAUAAAAUUAAUAUGAUGAAUAUUGUGUAUUGAAAAUUCUUGGUAAAUUCAUAAUUUUACUAGGUAGGCUCAUAUGUGUUUAUUUUAUACUUGGAAAAACUACGUUAUUAAUUACCGGGAUUAUUUUUACUUAAGACAUAAACAUUUUUGAUCAGAUUAAUGACAUUGGGAACAACAAUACACCAGAAAGUUAUUAUUGUAUAUAUUUAGUAACAAAUAUGCCAUUUUUUUUUUUGUGAAAUAAAGGGAGUUACAAGAUGAAUUAUUUUGCAUUACAAGAUGCAUGGGCCAUGGGCUUUAUUGCUACAAACACUUGAGGAAUAACUGAGAAUGUAGCAGGAAUAAUCAACGUGGACCUUGUACUGCAUUAAAACCAAGAGCAUGCACAUUACUAAUGUCCAGCACGUGAGGAGCAAGAUAAGGGGGUGAGGACGACAUUUUUUACACUGAUUUUUGCUAAUUAGUUUAUAUAUAUAUACAGUAUUCUUAGUACUGCAUGAAUUUGUCCUUGUGUAAUAAGUGAAGUAUCACAAUGUGUAUAAAUUGUCCUUGAUUACUGCUUAACAGUGGGGAAUAGAUAACGGCAAGUUGUUGCAGUUUCAUCCAUUAUAUUUAUUGCCGUUUACUUCAAAAAUAAAAGAAAUUAUUAAUUAAAUUAUUUUUAUUAUUAAAUCAUUUUUUUCUAAUUUUUCCAUGUUUCAUCAGAUGGCCUCACAAUGUCCUGUCAAAAGCUAUACUAGCCAUGACAUAAGAAUAGAAAAGGGUGGACUGUGAAAACUGUCAGAUAUAAAUGUGGCUCAGCUCAGUUUGUUGUCCAUGAUGAGGAGAAUACAUACAUGUAGGUUUUACUGCCCUUCUACCCCCAGGGGCCCAGUAGCACCCCCCGGAAGAGCCAAAAACUGUACAUUUCAAAUGGCUGUAAAUCAGAGUCCAAUUAACGAAUCAAAGAGAAAAUCGGCAGGAUUACUACUUAUGCUAUGCUGAUAAAAUAAUGUUGGGCACAGUUUUCAGAAAUAAAUGGAAAGGUGUCAUAAAGGCAUUUUAAAUAUUGCUCACUGUAAAAUACCAAAUUUCACUCUGUCUUUCAAUUAUAUUAUAGAGGUUUACACAAUGAAAAUAUUUAGAUAUCCAGUUUUCCAUUAAAUAUAUUAUUUAUUUCAUUUCGUUAAUAAAAAGUUUUAAACUACAUUACCCACAAGCCUCUGUCGUUCUAUCUAUGGAAAGGGAAAACUUGGCGCUUUUCUUUGUAGUUCAUUGAAGUUAUGCUUAGGGCUAGGGUUAGGAUCUCGCUGAAGAGGUAAUUUUUCUCAACAUAGCAAUACUUCAUUGUUGACUUAAUAUAUUACUAAUGUGAUAAUAGCAGCAAAACAUACUUUUUAACAUGAUAUGCUGUUUAAUAUGGGUUAAAAGAUAGUCCAACCACAGACAGUCCUGCGGUGACAAGGGAAAUUCACAGCCAAUGACAUCAAAGCUGAACAGCGGCGUCACACUUCCUUAACCAUUUAUGGUCAUUUAUGACAAAUGUCUUCCGUUUUUCAGCUGAAGGGAUAGAUUGGUUAACAAUCAAUAAAAUUUGCUACCUAUUAGAUUGUGUUUUAUUAACGUCUACACCUUCCUCCAACAAUAAUGCAAAUGCUCUAAUUAUUGUUGUUCAGCUUGACAAAAAUUGGCCAAUAUUGAUGUGCACAUGCCCAGCAUUCGCAGUUGGAUCCCAUCUA
Molecule: long non-coding RNA, 2502 nt
Organism: Cyprinus carpio carpio
Lineage: Eukaryota; Metazoa; Chordata; Actinopteri; Cypriniformes; Cyprinidae
Source: Ensembl